Molecule: transfer RNA, 72 nt
Filed under: Phrynosoma platyrhinos (Desert horned lizard)
Lineage: Eukaryota; Metazoa; Chordata; Lepidosauria; Squamata; Phrynosomatidae
Description: tRNA-OTHER
Source: RNAcentral
GGCCAUGUGGCACAGUGGUUUGAGUGUUGGAUGAUGAUUCUGGAGACCAGGGUUCGAUUCUCAGAUCGGCCA